Molecule: ribosomal RNA, 396 nt
Filed under: uncultured bacterium
Lineage: Bacteria
Description: partial 16S ribosomal RNA
Rfam family: Bacterial small subunit ribosomal RNA
Source: RNAcentral
AAUAUUGCACAAUGGAGGAAACUCUGAUGCAGCGACGCCGCGUGAGCGAUGAAGGCUUUCGAGUCGUAAAGCUCUGUCCUAGGGGACGAUAAUGACGGUACCCUAGGAGGAAGCCCCGGGUUACCACGUGCCAGCAGCCGCGGUAAUACGUAGGGGGCGAGCGUUGUCCGGAAUUAUUGGGCGUAAAGGGUUCGCAGGCUGUCUUUUAAGUCAGAUGUGAAAGCCCACGGCUUAACCGUGGUGAGCAUUUGAAACUGGAAGGCUUGAGUUAAGGAGAGGAAAGUGGAAUUCCUAGUGUAGCGGUGAAAUGCGUAGAUAUUAGGAGGAAUACCAGUGGCGAAGGCGACUUUCUGGACUUAUACUGACGCUGAGGUGCGAAAGCGUGGGGAGCAAACA